AUUGAACGCUGGCGGCAGGCAUAACACAUGCAAGUCGAGCGAGCGGCGGACGGGAGAGAAAUGUAUGGAGAUGUGCCUGAUGGAGGGGGAUAACUACUGGAAACGGUCGCUAAUAGCGCAUAUCACAAGAUGCACACAUAUGGGAUUAGAUUGUAGGUAAGGUAAGGGCUUACCUAGGCGACGAUCCCUAGCUGGUCUGAGAGGAUGAUCAGCCACACUGGGACUGAGACACGGCCCAGACUCCUACGGGAGGCAGCAGUGGGGAAUAUUGCACAAUGGGCGCAAGCCUGAUGCAGCCAUGCCGCGUGUAUGAAGAAGGCCUUCGGGUUGUAAAGUACUUUCAGUCGGGAGGCGUUACCGACAGAAGAAGCACCGGCUAACUCCGUGCCAGCAGCCGCGGUAAUUC
RNAcentral lists this ribosomal RNA (406 nucleotides) under uncultured bacterium. RNAcentral describes it as "partial 16S ribosomal RNA". It matches the Rfam family "Bacterial small subunit ribosomal RNA", at positions 30 to 526 of the family's 1533-position model. The record is from RNAcentral.